GCCUGAUCCAGCCAUGCCGCGUGUGUGAAGAAGGCCUUCGGGUUGUAAAGCACUUUMGGCGGGGAGGAAGGCSUGCAGGUUAAUACCUUGGGCGAWUGACGUUACCCGCAGAAUAAGCACCGGCUAACUUCGUGCCAGCAGCCGCGGUAAUACGGAGGGUGCAAGCGUUAAUCGGAAUUACUGGGCGUAAAGCGCGCGCAGGCGGUUUGUUAAGUCAGAUGUGAAAUCCCCGGGCUCAACCUGGGAACUGCAUUUGAAACUGGCAAGCUAGAGUCUGGUAGAGGGGGGUGGAAUUCCGGUGUAGCGGUGAAAUGCGUAGAUAUCUGGAGGAACACCGGUGGCGAAGGCGGCCCCCUGGACCAAYACUGACGCUCAGGUGCGAAAGC
Molecule: ribosomal RNA, 386 nt
Filed under: uncultured Gammaproteobacteria bacterium
Lineage: Bacteria; Pseudomonadati; Pseudomonadota; Gammaproteobacteria
Description: bacterial SSU rRNA
Rfam family: Bacterial small subunit ribosomal RNA
Source: RNAcentral